This 253-nucleotide ribosomal RNA is filed under the name uncultured bacterium. RNAcentral's name for it is "partial 16S ribosomal RNA". It matches the Rfam family "Bacterial small subunit ribosomal RNA", at positions 524 to 776 of the family's 1533-position model. The record is from RNAcentral.
UACGUAGGGUGCAAGCGUUAAUCGGAAUUACUGGGCGUAAAGCGUGCGCAGGCGGUUUUGUAAGCCAGAUGUGAAAUCCCCGGGCUUAACCUGGGAAUGGCAUUUGGGACUGCAAGGCUUGAGUGCGGCAGAGGAGACUGGAAUUCCUGGUGUAGCAGUGAAAUGCGUAGAUAUCAGGAGGAACACCGGUGGCGAAGGCGGGUCUCUGGGCCGAUAUUGACGCUGAGGAGCGAAAGCGUGGGGAGCGAACAGG